Molecule: ribosomal RNA, 196 nt
Filed under: uncultured bacterium
Lineage: Bacteria
Description: partial 16S ribosomal RNA
Rfam family: Bacterial small subunit ribosomal RNA
Source: RNAcentral
ACGCUCGACACCUACGGGAGCAGCAGUGGGGGAUAUUGCACAAUGGGCGCAAGCCUGAUGCAGCGACGCCGCGUGAGGGAAGACGGUCUUCGGAUUGUAAACCUCUGUCUUCGGGGACGAUAAUGACGGUACCCGAGGAGGAAGCCACGGCUAACUACGUGCAGCAGCCGCGGUAAUCUGAGCGGGCUGGCAAGGC